CUAAAACAAAAAACAUCUGUAAAACAACUUCCAUUAUCACAAUAUAUGUGAAAAAGAUAUAUAAAAUUCAUGGCUUUAGUUUAACAACAAGUUAAUCCCAACUAACUAAAAGCAGAAUAAAUCGUCUAGUCGUAGAAAUCCUGAGUUGGAAGGGACCCACAAGGAUCACUGAGUCCAGCUCUUGGCUCCACACAGGACCAUCCAAAAAUCAGACCGUAUGUCCGAGAGCACUGUUCAAACACUCCUUGAACUCUGGCAGACUCAGGGCUGUGACCACUGCCCUGGGGAGCCUGUCCCAGUGCCCAACCACCCUCUGGGUGCAGAACCUUUCCCUAACCCCCAGCCUGACCCUCCCCUUUUGAACUACCUAA
Oxyura jamaicensis (ruddy duck) is the source of this 371-nucleotide long non-coding RNA. RefSeq lists it as uncharacterized. The record is from RefSeq and is a predicted model, not a curated record. NCBI's taxonomy places the organism in Eukaryota, Metazoa, Chordata, Aves, Anseriformes, Anatidae. The transcript has 3 exons.